This 257-nucleotide long non-coding RNA is filed under the name Manihot esculenta (cassava). Its description in RNAcentral is "long non-coding RNA (MESC_LNC001951)". The record is from RNAcentral. Lineage: Eukaryota; Viridiplantae; Streptophyta; Magnoliopsida; Malpighiales; Euphorbiaceae.
CCGCACAUGGCAGCCCAUGGAUGCACGCAUGACCAAGCCCACGCACAAUCACAAGCCAUAUAGACCCGCCAAGCACUUCAUGCGGAUCAAUUCCCGCACAUGCACAGUGGACACGCUCCCACAUGGAUUCCAGCACGAGGGAUUGGCACUUGACACAUGGGCCCGUUGAACUUCAACGUCCACUCCACCAAGCUCCCGCACAUGGGCUGAUGGGCACCUUUCACGGACAUGGCCCAAUCCGCACAAGCCACUCACGC